AAAAAAAAAAAAGCAGACUGUUAGCUGUUCACAGUUCAAACCCCGGCUCUACUUGCUAAAUGGUGACACGGUGAGAGAUCAAUGGAUGGCUGCAGGGCCGAGCUGACCUGGUAGUGGUGAUAGGCUGGCUGCCGGUACACAGGCUGAUGGGACUGAGGAAGCAUCGCUGGAGGAGCGGGCCGCUGGAGAAGAAACAUAUGGCAGAAACUAAUCACACAUUAACAGUGUCCCAGUUACUCAUGACUGUAUGACAGUGAGCCAGCUUGAAUAAACUCCAGGUACUCCAGCUCUUCAGAUUCCACCUCUGCAUGUCAAACUUGGGAACCCACCUGUGCGGCCCCCCCGCUGACGGGACAUCGGGCGACCGCUGAGCUGUGGGCCAAUGGCGGCACCGUGGAGGAACAGCCGGUGUUAAUCCAACCCAGCAACGGUUCAGCAGGCUGCAGUGGGAACCAGUGGAGGAGGGAAGGAGCGUGAAAUCCCCGACACCUGGUGGCUCUUUCUGUACAAGAGUCUGCAGCUGGUGUCCAAGGCCCACAGCCAGACGGCCAGCUGUGCUUCCUCGAUGGCUCCACUGGCAUACACUGAGGUUACAUAGGCUGAUACUGGCCUGCUUAAGGAGUUCAAGAAUUCAGUUGUGGUCAACUCAUUUAUCCAACCCCUUUAUGGAUAUGAUGCAUUUUGUUUGAAUUGAUUAUAAUAGUCUCAUUUACCAUUUAAUUUUGCUAAUUAACACCUUCAACCAAAAAACAAGAUCAAGGUUAAAUUUGGGCUUAUUGUCACUCUCUCCAAAGAAAAUGUCAAGCAUGGUAGAUAAAAAUGCAAUAAAUGUUGAAAAAAUGGAGCUCA
Long non-coding RNA from Scatophagus argus, 849 nucleotides. RefSeq lists it as uncharacterized. NCBI's taxonomy places the organism in Eukaryota, Metazoa, Chordata, Actinopteri, Scatophagidae. The record is from RefSeq and is a predicted model, not a curated record. The transcript is spliced from 4 exons.